AACGAACGCUGGCGGCAUGCCUAACACAUGCAAGUCGAACGAGACCUUCGGGUCUAGUGGCGCACGGGUGCGUAACGCGUGGGAACCUGCCCUUAGGUUCGGAAUAACUCCCCGAAAGGGGUGCUAAUACCGGAUAAUGUCUUCGGACCAAAGAUUUAUCGCCUUUGGAUGGGCCCGCGUUGGAUUAGCUAGUUGGUAGGGUAAAAGCCUACCAAGGCGACGAUCCCUAGCUGGUCUGAGAGGAUGAUCAGCCACACUGGGACUGAGACACGGCCCAGACUCCUACGGGAGGCAGCAGUGGGGAAUAUUGGACGAUGGGCGAAAGCCUGAUCCAGCAAUGCCGCGUGAGUGAUGAAGGCGUUAGGGUUGUAAAGCUCUUUUAACCGGGAUGAUAAUGACAGUACCGGGAGAAUAAGCUCCGGCUAACUCCGUG
RNAcentral lists this ribosomal RNA (433 nucleotides) under uncultured bacterium. RNAcentral describes it as "partial 16S ribosomal RNA". It matches the Rfam family "Bacterial small subunit ribosomal RNA", at positions 29 to 507 of the family's 1533-position model. The record is from RNAcentral.